GGGUUUGUACUGUCCUGACUGGGUCUUACCUUCUGGUGAGCUGUCGUGUUGUUUACUCAGUGCGGCAGGGAACCAGGACUUUUACUUUGAAAAAAUUAGAGUGUUUAAAGCAGGCAUUCGCUUGAAUACAUUAGCAUGGAAUAAUAAAAUAGGACUUUGGUUCUAUUUUGUUGGUUUCUAGGACCGAAGUAAUGAUUAAUAGGGAUAGUUGGGGGCAUUAGUAUUUAAUUGUCAGAGGUGAAAUUCUUGGAUUUAUGAAAGACUAACUUCUGCGAAAGCAUUUGCCAAGGAUGUUUUCAUUAAUCAAGAACGAAAGUUAGGGGAUCGAAGACGAUCAGAUACCGCCCUAGUUCUGACCGUAAACGAUACCAUCUAGCGAUCCGAUAGGGUCUAUCUAGCCUUGUCGGGGAGCUUCCCGGAAACGAAAGUCUUUCGGUUCCGGGGGUAGUAUGGUUGCAAAGCUGAAACUUAAAGAAAUUGACGGAAGGGCACCACCAGGAGUGGAGCUUGCGGCUUAAUUUGACUCAACACGGGAAAACUCACCCGGCCCGGACACCGUAAGGAUUGACAGACUGAUAGCUCUUUCUUGAUUCGGUGGUUGGUGGUGCAUGGCCGUUCUUAGUUGGUGGAGUAAUUUGUCUGGUUUAUUCCGAUAACGAGCGAGACUCUAGCCUGCUAAAUAGAACGAGGAUAAACCUUUUCAUAGGUCCUCGAUGCUUCUUAGAGGAAUUAGCGG
RNAcentral lists this ribosomal RNA (736 nucleotides) under uncultured eukaryote. RNAcentral's name for it is "bacterial SSU rRNA". It matches the Rfam family "Eukaryotic small subunit ribosomal RNA", at positions 671 to 1426 of the family's 1831-position model. The record is from RNAcentral.